Molecule: ribosomal RNA, 460 nt
Filed under: uncultured bacterium
Lineage: Bacteria
Description: partial 16S ribosomal RNA
Rfam family: Bacterial small subunit ribosomal RNA
Source: RNAcentral
CCUACGGGAGGCAGCAGUGAGGAAUAUUGGUCAAUGGACGAGAGUCUGAACCAGCCAAGUAGCGUGAAGGAUGACUGCCCUAUGGGUUGUAAACUUCUUUUAUAUGGGAAUAAAACGUUCCACGUGUGGGAUUUUGUAUGUACCAUAUGAAUAAGGAUCGGCUAAUUCCGUGCCAGCAGCCGCGGUAAUACGGAGGAUCCGAGCGUUAUCCGGAUUUAUUGGGUUUAAAGGGAGCGUAGGUGGAUUGUUAAGUCAGUUGUGAAAGUUUGCGGCUCAACCGUAAAAUUGCAGUUGAAACUGGCAGUCUUGAGUACAGUAGAGGUGGGCGGAAUUCGUGGUGUAGCGGUGAAAUGCUUAGAUAUCACGAAGAACUCCGAUUGCGAAGGCAGUUCACUGGACUGCAACUGACACUGAGGCUCGAAGGUGUGGGUAUCAAACAGGAUUAGAUACCCUAGUAGUC